RNAcentral lists this ribosomal RNA (792 nucleotides) under Triticum aestivum (bread wheat). RNAcentral's name for it is "partial small subunit ribosomal RNA". Lineage: Eukaryota; Viridiplantae; Streptophyta; Magnoliopsida; Poales; Poaceae. The record is from RNAcentral.
AUGGCGGCGGCCGUCGCCGAGGCUGCCAAGCGGGAGGCGCUCCGCGACGACCGGGACGCCAUCUCCGUCGUCAUAGGAGCGCGCGUCCCCGGAUCCGCCGCUGAGGGCGAUGCAGCCGAAGGAAACAUCAAGGACACCGUGCUCGACAACUUCUCUGUCUCUGCGCGAGGGAAGGAGCUGCUCAAGGGCGCCUCCCUCCGGAUCUCGCAUGGUCGCCGCUACGGGCUCGUGCCUGUGCCCAAGAACAUUGAUGUCCUGCUUGUGGAGCAGCAGAUUGUUGGUGAUGACCGCUCGGCAACCGAGGUGGUGGUUGCAGCCAAUGAGGAGCUCACGGCGCUCCGGUCUGAGCAGGCAAAGCUUGAGGCCUCUAACGACCCCGAUGACAACGACAAGCUUGCCGAGGUAUAUGAGAAACUAAAUCUAUGCGACUCUGAUGCUGCACGCGCGGGUGCGUCCAAAAUCCUCGCGGGGCUGGGGUUUGAUCAGGCGAUGCAGGCAAGGUCCACAAAGUCCUUCAGUGGUGGCUGGAGGAUGCGCAUCUCGCUUGCCCGUGCUCUCUUCAUGCAGCCAACAUUGCUGCUCCUUGAUGAGCCUACCAACCAUUUGGACCUCCGAGCUGAUCAACAAGCAACCAUGUCUUUCAAAAUAUAUUCUACAAUGAGUGGGAGGACGGAGGCGGAAGAGGUUCUGGGUGGAUGCACCGCCAUGGGGAACCUGUACGCAGGGCCGACAGAUCGAGACCGUGAUGAGCAAGGGGGUCAGAAUGCAAGAGCAGCGGGUGGGAGGGGUUAG